GUGGUUCCAACAAAGUGUGUCCUUUGUGAUACAGUUGAGGAAACGACAGUCCAUCUAUUCUUCAAUUGCGACUUCAGCUAGACUCUUUGGAACGAAUUUACAAGUUUGACAGACUAUGCUUUAUGGAAGAUUAUGGGUAUCACAGAGAUAAAACAAGGAGAUAUAAGGGUGGGUGAUAUCAUGGAAGGGAUAUCCAAAUUCAGGAAGUCAGCACCAUGCUGGGGACUACAUUGGAAUGCACUUGCAAUAUUUAUAUGGCAUCUUUGGAGGGAGAGAAAUCUACGACACAAUGAGGGGCUCUUUCGGCCGGUUAAAGUCGUUGGAAGGGAUUUCAUACGAGAUUUGACUAUCAUCUAUGACUACCGCCUAUUUAAAAAAGCGCAGAGG
This 387-nucleotide long non-coding RNA is filed under the name Zostera marina. Its description in RNAcentral is "long non-coding RNA (ZMAR_LNC003989)". The record is from RNAcentral. Lineage: Eukaryota; Viridiplantae; Streptophyta; Magnoliopsida; Alismatales; Zosteraceae.